RNAcentral lists this unclassified non-coding RNA (249 nucleotides) under Hevea brasiliensis (rubber tree). The record is from RNAcentral. Lineage: Eukaryota; Viridiplantae; Streptophyta; Magnoliopsida; Malpighiales; Euphorbiaceae.
ACAUCCCUCACAAAUGGAGGCAACAUCAGUUGCAACUCGUAGUCUGAACUUUGGUUCAGCACCCUGCUCAGCCUCACUUGGGUCUGCUGGACCAACCAUUACUCUUGACCUCACAAAACCUAAGUCCAGCAACAAUGAUGCCAGAAGUUCAAAAUCAAGAAUGGAAACUACUCCUGAGAUCAGGCAGUUCUUGGUGGAACACAUGGCCUCGUCCUUGACCAAAGAUCCCAAUUUCACAGCAGCACUAGC